ACAAAGUGACAGGUGGUGCAUGGUUGUCGUCAGCUCGUGUCGUGAGAUGUUGGGUUAAGUCCCGCAACGAGCGCAACCCUUAAGCUUAGUUGCCAUCAUUAAGUUGGGCACUCUAGGUUGACUGCCGGUGACAAACCGGAGGAAGGUGGGGAUGACGUCAAAUCAUCAUGCCCCUUAUGAUUUGGGCUACACACGUGCUACAAUGGACAAUACAAAGGGCAGCUAAACCGCGAGGUCAUGCAAAUCCCAUAAAGUUGUUCUCAGUUCGGAUUGUAGUCUGCAACUCGACUACAUGAAGCUGGAAUCGCUAGUAAUCGUAGAUCAGCAUGCUACGGUGAAUACGUUCCCGGGUCUUGUACACACCGCCCGUCACACCACGAGAGUUUGUAACACCCGAAGCCGGUGGAGUAACCAUUUAUGGAGCUAGCCGUCGAAGGUGGGACAAAUGAUUGGGGUGAAGUCGUAACAAGGUAGCCGUAUCGGAAGGUGCGGCUGGAUCACCUC
Molecule: ribosomal RNA, 504 nt
Filed under: uncultured bacterium
Lineage: Bacteria
Description: bacterial SSU rRNA
Rfam family: Bacterial small subunit ribosomal RNA
Source: RNAcentral